CAGUAGCCGCGGGAAUACGUAGGUCCCGAGCGUUGUCCGGAUUUAUUGGGCGUAAAGCGAGCGCAGGCGGUUAGAUAAGUCUGAAGUUAAAGGCUGUGGCUUAACCAUAGUAUGCUUUGGAAACUGUUUAACUUGAGUGCAGAAGGGGAGAGUGGAAUUCCAUGUGUAGCGGUGAAAUGUGUAGAUAUAUGGAGGAACACCGGUGGCGAAAGCGGCUCUCUGGUCUGUAACUGACGCUGAGGCUCGAAAGCGCGGGGAGCAAACAGGAUUAGAUACCCCAGUAGUCCCUGUCUCUUAUACA
Molecule: ribosomal RNA, 301 nt
Filed under: uncultured bacterium
Lineage: Bacteria
Description: partial 16S ribosomal RNA
Rfam family: Bacterial small subunit ribosomal RNA
Source: RNAcentral